GCCCCUGGCGUGCAUCAAAGCCCCCUUUGUGCCACCCUGCGCAGCCCCAAAUAGCAGCGCGCUCACCUGCGGGGGGGGGGGCUGCAUAUUAAUAACCCCCCUUCCUCCUCCUCCUCCUCCUCCUCCUCUUCUUCCUCCUCCUCCUCCUCCUCCUCAUCCCUCCGAGCCCUCCGCCAGCCGCACUCAGCUCCCCGCAGCCCCCACCGAAGCCCCCACCGCUCGGUGCCGGCCGCCCCCCCGCCAUGGCCGGCCGCAGCUUUGGGCUCUCGCUGCUCCUCCACGCCUGCCUCUGCCUGGCCCAGCUCCGAGGGCCACCAGGAGAGCCCGGCCCGCGUGGCCCCCCCGGUCCACCAGGAGUGCCGGGAGCGGAUGGCAUUGACGGUGACAAAGGCUCGCCUGGAGCCCCCGGCUCUCCGGGUGCCAAGGGGGAGCCCGGAGCCCCCGGUCCCGAUGGGCCCCCAGGGAAGCCGGGCAUCGACGGUCUCACGGGAGCAAAAGGGGAGCCUGGACCCAUGGGGGGGCCAGGACUGAAGGGCCAGCCCGGACUCCCAGGGCCACCGGGGCUCCC
Molecule: long non-coding RNA, 568 nt
Filed under: Anas platyrhynchos (mallard)
Lineage: Eukaryota; Metazoa; Chordata; Aves; Anseriformes; Anatidae
Description: lncRNA (ENSAPLG00020002402.1)
Source: RNAcentral